This 538-nucleotide ribosomal RNA is filed under the name fungal sp. RNAcentral's name for it is "eukaryotic LSU rRNA". The stretch from base 189 to 342 matches the Rfam family "5.8S ribosomal RNA". Lineage: Eukaryota; Fungi. The record is from RNAcentral.
GGUAACCUGCGGAGGGAUCAUUACACAAAUAUGAAGGCGGGCUGGAACCUCUCGGGGUUACAGCCUUGCUGAAUUAUUCACCCUUGUCUUUUGCGUACUUCUUGUUUCCUUGGUGGGUUCGCCCACCACUAGGACAAACAUAAACCUUUUGUAAUUGCAAUCAGCGUCAGUAACAAAUUAAUAAUUACAACUUUCAACAACGGAUCUCUUGGUUCUGGCAUCGAUGAAGAACGCAGCGAAAUGCGAUAAGUAGUGUGAAUUGCAGAAUUCAGUGAAUCAUCGAAUCUUUGAACGCACAUUGCGCCCUUUGGUAUUCCAAAGGGCAUGCCUGUUCGAGCGUCAUUUGUACCCUCAAGCUUUGCUUGGUGUUGGGCGUCUUGUCUCUAGCUUUGCUGGAGACUCGCCUUAAAGUAAUUGGCAGCCGGCCUACUGGUUUCGGAGCGCAGCACAAGUCGCACUCUCUAUCAGCAAAGGUCUAGCAUCCAUUAAGCCUUUUUUUCAACUUUGACUCGGAUCAAGGUAGGUUUCCAGUUCCCCC